GUUUUAGUUGUACAUUGUACAAAUAGACAUUCCAUUACAUUCAGAGUGUGUUGUAAAGUACUCGAGUACCAGGGCCCUUUAAGGGGGCCCAUGCAAAGCGGUACUCAGAGUCAUGGGUGCACAAGGUGUGUGAGAUUUGCGACUUGUCAACGUGCACAUUGUGGUGCCACCAGCACAGAUGACAAGCCGACUUUAGAAGAUUCAUUAAUGAUCCUUCCGCAGGUUCACCUACGGAAA
Molecule: unclassified non-coding RNA, 237 nt
Filed under: uncultured fungus
Lineage: Eukaryota; Fungi
Description: sequence contains ITS1
Source: RNAcentral